AUAAGCCAACUAUGCGUCCAGUAGACCGAAGCAAAACCCCUGGAGACGAGAAAAAAAAAUGCAUUUGUGCCUUUCCUUUAUCGUCCCUGUGAGUAUCCGGUGCCCAAUGACAGGAUAGUCGAGAGAUGGAUGGUGGUGGCAGGCACAUAUCAGGUCCGCUCCAACGUGGUUGGGUAGGAAUAUCGCUAGAACUUGUGAACAUGUAGAAUCAUUACAGAUAUUUACAAGAUACCUAGUGCUCCAUGGUAAAAAGCCAGACCCCAUCUAGAGCAACAGCAGGAGCUAUAAGGUAUACCCAUAUUGGAUCCUCACUGCCUCAGCCAAAAGUCAAAUUUCUCAUGACAUAUGAAUGGCAUUAGCCAAUCCUCAUCAAAGUCCAUAAGCAGCUGUUGCAAGUGAAGUGACCAAUAGACCUAUCAAACAAAUAAACAAGAGGCAGCUUCAGCACAAAAACUUGACACGAAUAAUUGAAGAGUAAUGUAAUAAAAAUUAUGCAAGGAAUCCAUAAGAGCAUCCACAGCUCGGCAUCCAGAUUUUCAUCUUACCAUAUGAUAGUUUGAAAAGGUAGUUGUUGCCAAUUAGUGGAUAUGGAUGGACCAUGCUACCGUUGGAAGCACAUUAUAUUGUCUUCCAACAGUGUUUGAACCAUGAUCAAACUGUUGCGAAAGUGUAGAUUUGACGUUCCAGCGUCGCAUAUGCAGAUUUGAAUAAGCAACAUGCAGCAGUUUCUCAAAAGGCAUCAUAUAAAGGAAGAAUAGGCAGCUGAAGAAGAUGAGAGCAUUCUACCCACAGCCUUCAAGUUGGAUCCUCAAAUUCGCUUGCACAGACUGCAUCAGAAAACCAUCAAUCCUACUAGUUACAAGAUCCAGGUUGUAUAAACAAGAUUAUUUAGUUAUGCCUACAAAAGGCAUUAAACAAGAUUUAUAGAAUAUUUCUCACCUAAAAUUGCUUGCCAAUUGCCACGUCCCUCACAAUGAGGAAGUCAAAGUUCCAA
Molecule: long non-coding RNA, 994 nt
Organism: Capsicum annuum
Lineage: Eukaryota; Viridiplantae; Streptophyta; Magnoliopsida; Solanales; Solanaceae
Exons: 2
Source: RefSeq, a predicted model, not a curated record